RNAcentral lists this long non-coding RNA (1601 nucleotides) under Anthonomus grandis grandis. RNAcentral describes it as "uncharacterized LOC126747878". The record is from RNAcentral. Lineage: Eukaryota; Metazoa; Arthropoda; Insecta; Coleoptera; Curculionidae.
UGCAAUAAUAGUUUUAUAAAGUUUAUUUGCCGCAUGUAUUUCAUUUUAGAAAAUGAAAUCUCUUUUUAAAAUUUGGACCCUGGAUCGUAAGAAAAAAAGCUUCAUUGUUGUUGAUGAUGAGGAGUGGCGAUUUGUAUGCCGAACUUAUUUUAAAAGCCUCCGCAAAUUUCGGAAUUAAUGGAUCAUCAUUGGUCUUGGAAGAAGAUGGAACGCCUAUAGACAACAAAUGUUUAAGUUUCGUUAAAGAAAAAACUUUUACUUUAUUGGCCAAGGACGAAAAGUGGUUCAAAAUAUCGUCCGAGUGUGGCAGUACAUCAUCUUCAAUGGCCACUACCGUAACUGUGGAAUCCGACUAUUCGAAACUCACAGCCUCAGACGCAACGGGUAAUUCUUCUAUAGAAAUAACAACAGUUACUGAUUGUAACACCGAGUAUUAUUGGCACGCUUUUGAAAUUCCUUAUGAAGCUCUAAGUAAGCAACAUAAGCAAUUACUGGAAAAUGGAGUGUGCCCUAAGCAAGUAAAAUCUAACUUGGUUCAUCUGAUUGUAAAUAAAAUGAGGUCGUUAAAAAAAAUAUACCAAGCAAAGCAUUCAAAAUAAUAAGCAAAAAAUUGAUUGACAAAUAUCCUGUGGCUCUAAGGGAUAUCGACGAGGAUGGAAUUGUGUUAGGAGAUGGAACGCAUUCUCUUAUGCACAAACUACAGGAACGCAACAAUUAUCUAAACAGGCCGCAUAAAAAUACUAAUUGGCUUUCUGAAAAUCCAGUUAAAACAAAAAAAAAGACAAGUUAGUGCAAGUGCAGGUUGCACUAAUUGGUCUCCUCAGUUACCAGCUAUAUCAGAAGAAUAUAAAAGCCGGGAAGAAAUUUCAUCGAUAACAGAAGAAAAUUUUGUAGAUGUAAUGGAAAAAGUUAUGCCGAACAAAGGCAAUUUCUGAACAGGCUUUCCCCACCAUCCAUAACAGAAAUACAAGAGGAUUGGCCAAUUCUUCUUUCUAAAAAGGGAAUUUUUUGGUACUUUUCAAAACUAACAAGCUGCGAUAUACACUUAUUAGAUCAGAGUAAAGGAAAAAUUGAAAAGCUAGUAGAGUCCAUAAAAUGAGAGAAUAUGCCGGUGACGUAAAAUGCGCACAAACCCACUUUAAACCAAAAAAUCAAUAAAGGGGAGGCCCCAUAUUUCCCUGAUUAGGUUUACUUGACCGUGAAUACAUGCAUCUCUCUCUUUCACAAGGAAAAAGAUAAAGUCGUUAUAAUAGUUAUACCUCUCCGCUUUAUUCAUCACAGUACCCUUGGAAGUUCGAUGGUGUUUCGCAAUAAGUCAGUGUCGUCGCACUUGGGAACGCGUUGAGAGUGUAGAGUGUGCGUGUAAAUUCAGUUUAAUUUGUGUUUACCUACUUUUUUCUUCCAAUUUUGGUGUGUUUUAAUUUAAAGACUAUUAUUUUGUGUGUGUUUGUUACUACUAACGUAUUAAAGAUGUCGCCAAAGAAAUUAGGUACGAAAGGGCAAAUAAUACAUAGCCAGGGAAGAGAAAUUAUUGCCAAUGUAGCAGAGUUUAUGCAUAAAGAGGCAGAAGAAGGAUUAACUAUUCCUUUAAAAUGCUUUAG